Molecule: unclassified non-coding RNA, 2021 nt
Filed under: Hevea brasiliensis (rubber tree)
Lineage: Eukaryota; Viridiplantae; Streptophyta; Magnoliopsida; Malpighiales; Euphorbiaceae
Source: RNAcentral
CAGAGUAAAAAAAUGUGUCGCAGCAGGACAUGCCUCCUUUUGCUUUAAAAUUUUAACCCACAGAACACGUCAACAACUAAUUUGAUCAAACUAAUCAUCAUACACAGAUCCACAAUCUACGGCCCUAGCAUUCACAAUCUGACUAUCAAUGUUGGUCAACUAUCAGCAUCCAUGCUUUGUCAAUAAAGUUCAUCCAAACGUUCAAAACUCCCUCUUGAGUCAAAUAUUUUCACUACGCAAAUGGUACACGAACAAAGAGCUGUCCAUGGAGGGUAACAACAGCAGAAGUCUGAAGUGGAUCGAUUCUAGCUGGCAGGCUAACUACCUUUUUGAAGGCGGUAAUACCCCAAGGGUUGUCAAGUUGUUCCGGCUGACCAGUUAUGACCAGACGGCCAGCAGGAUCAGAUUGAACGCGCACCUCCUCUCUCAAAAGCCCAGGCACCAGAGCAUAGAUCUCAAAACAAUCUUUUGUUUCUCGCACGUUGAUUUUUACCCAAUCAGCUGGAGGUCCCAAAUCAACAACUGUUGUAACCAACUGCUUAGAUGUUUCUGUUCGUGCCACUUUCGAAGGAUGUUCCAUUUCAUUUGGUCUCUUGUGUUUUAUAGAACCAAUGCUUUUGAAAUUCUUCUCACGCUUUGGCGUAUGUUUGGCAUUCUUGUCCUUUACAAUUGGCUCCCCAACCUCGCCACAACCAAGAAGACGUUGCUCAUGCCAUCCUUGCAUGGCACGAGCAGCAGCAUCUCUUCUCGCCCUGCCUGAUCCAGGAGUUUGAUUACCAUUUCCCUCAUUAUCAACACCUGCUUCAGGAAGAGCAGCAAUAGGAAGUUGAAGCUUGCCGCUUUGCAUCUUAUGCCUUUCAUAUUCUAAAAGAGCCUUCUCAUAAAAAAUGCGGAAUGUCCAGGACACAGUUGUGCAAGUCUUGGGGGGAUUAAACGAUUCGCCGACUUGUCUCCACAGCUUCGAUCCAGUAACCCGAUCAUAGCCACCCAAUCUGAUCACAGAUCUCCACAACUUCAGGCAAUUAAGAGGAAUGCCAUAAAACUUGGGUGGUUUAAAUUCCAUGGCUCUCUCCCGGUAAAAAUUUUCAAGUUCUCUCAUAAAUGCUGUUUGAUCCUCUGGUGAUCCAUCAUCAUUCCAAUCCUCAUCUUCAUCCUCAUCGUCAGCCAUCUUUGAUUCAUCAAAGAUCUUAUUUGAUGCUUCCCCAGUAUGCUGUCCAGUGUUUGCAGUGUCACAUUUCACCGACAAAUUCGGAGUGGCUGGCUCCGGCAUCUUUGCAAUAGCAGUAUUCUUAACAGCAUCUUUUGUCUCUGACAACUCAUUCGAUCUAUCAUCACGAUCAGAGAUAACACUUGCAGUAUUAGCUUUAUGUUCCACUUUCUUCUGUUCAUCGACCAUCAUAUCAUUCCCAUUUUGAUGAACAUCUUUGAUUGAGUUCUCAGCCUGAUGAGCUUCCUUCACCUCUUUUCCACUGUCACCUACUUCAUUAGUAGGCAGCUCCUCAAGUACCUGCAUGUUUACACCUGUAGUAUCAUGUCGUGCAACAUUUCCAAUAGGUUCUUCCUUCUUCAAAGCCACAUCUGCAUCAGGAUCCCCUUCUUUUUUGUCCUGAAUUGUGGUUUCUCCUUCUGUUCCACCUGUAGCAUUGUUUUGGUCAUCAAGUGCUGUAUUGCCUUGAGUCUCCGGCUGGCCUAUAGUCGCUGUCUCAGUUGCAGCAUUCUUGUGGUCCUCCACCGCAGCCUUUGGAUCAGUCUGUUUCAUUGUAUCACCGUUUCCAUUUUCAGCAGGAAUUGGGGUCUUAGCCCCAGUUUCAGGGUGGUUUUGCGUCCCUAUUUUAGCAUUUUCACUGGUGGAGUGUUGGCCAGGAAGAGCAGGACUGGAAUCAAUCGACUCUACCACAGUAUUUUGGACAUCAUCCAUCUCCACGUCAGUCUUAUCCAUUCUGAUAACUGGAUGAAGGUGAGAGCUUGAUACGGUUGCCUGUGAAUCGGCGUGUAGGGUUUGGUUAGAGUUGGAGAUUAAG